UCUUAACUUUAGGAAUCCAAUGGUUAAAAAGUUAUGAGCAUGUAAAGUUCGACACUUUUAGUGCAUUUGCUACGUUACUGUGACGCCAUAUUGGCUUCUUGUCCAAUGAACGGUGUCGCUAGCUGCAGCCAGAUGCAUGUGGGUACCGAUCACUUUAGCGGGUACAGUCAAACCGUAAAUUUGAUGCUAUCUGAGUUAGUUAGGUUUAUAUUUAUUUUACAAACAGACUGUAUUGCCCAUGUGAGAACCAAUCAGGUUAUACAUAUAAGGCAAUAUGGCGUCACAGUAACGUAGCAAAUCCGCUAAAAAAAACAAGCUUUACACGCUUAUAACUUUUUAACCAUUGGAUUCCUAAAGUUAAGACUAGCCUUUUUGGAUUCUACACAUCAUAAACUAUAGAUUAAAAGAAAAAAAGGUCCAAAAUUUUGGGUCCGGUAAAGUAAAGUUUUACAAAGAUUUUUGCGGUUGUACGUUCCUUUAAUACGAUCCUCGUGAUCAAUAUGCGAGAGCACGAACGCGUUGGGACCAUAGACAUAUGAAAAUAUUUGGUUGGGACCAGGCCCCCCAAACUCCACUCUUGUGAUUUUGAUGCAAAUUUUAGGUUUACUCCUCACUACCAGGAGGCGCUGAUGUCACCUCUCUACAUGCAUAGCUUUUAUCACUGAUUUUGACACGCAACUAAAGAUAUCGGGACAUGAUGUUCCCGCGAAGUUUGUAGCCGCGUUUUUCAAUUGCUUCAAAAUUUAAAGAGACAAAAGAAAUAUGGCGCACAUGGUAGCACAUGGUGCUGGCGUAGGUGACUGAAUUUCCAGGUUUUUCAAUAACUUCUGCUGAUGAGAUGCAGCAACAGGAGGAGAAGAUACAAAUUAAAAGGAGGCUAUUAAAAUUAGAAAGAGGAAGAAAAUAUGCAUCAUCAGAGGGUGUAUUAACGAAAACAGCAGGAUGUUCCUAGAGAAAGGAUAAGAAGAGGAUGGCACAGUGGGUGCAAGUAUGUGACAACCAAAGUCAGUGCUUCCAUCUGAAAACUGAAAUUCCGGGGGAUCUGUAGUAGCUACUUUAAAGAAAUAUACGUCAUGAGGAAAACAUUAACAACAUCAGCAGUUCCAAAACUGAACUUACUUGUGUCAGAAGCUACCUCUAUUAAAAUAGAGCAAUAAGAC
This is a long non-coding RNA of Osmia bicornis bicornis, 1160 nucleotides long. RefSeq lists it as uncharacterized. The record is from RefSeq and is a predicted model, not a curated record. Lineage: Eukaryota; Metazoa; Arthropoda; Insecta; Hymenoptera; Megachilidae. The transcript has 4 exons.